Molecule: ribosomal RNA, 301 nt
Filed under: uncultured bacterium
Lineage: Bacteria
Description: partial 16S ribosomal RNA
Rfam family: Bacterial small subunit ribosomal RNA
Source: RNAcentral
CAGCCGCCGCGGGAAUACGUAGGUGGCAAGCGUUGUCCGGAAUUAUUGGGCGUAAAGGGCUCGCAGGCGGUUUCUUAAGUCUGAUGUGAAGGCCCCCGGCUCAACCGGGGAGGGUCAUUGGAAACUGGGAAACUUGAGUGCAGAAGAGGAGAGUGGAAUUCCACGUGUAGCGGUGAAAUGCGUAGAGAUGUGGAGGAACACCAGUGGCGAAGGCGACUCUCUGGUCUGUAACUGACGCUGAGGAGCGAAAGCGUGGGGAGCGAACAGGAUUAGAUACCCCAGUAGUCCCUGUCUCUUAUAU